Molecule: long non-coding RNA, 495 nt
Filed under: Marmota monax (woodchuck)
Lineage: Eukaryota; Metazoa; Chordata; Mammalia; Rodentia; Sciuridae
Source: RNAcentral
GUCGUGGAGUCACUUCUGGUUCCUUAACUUCCUGGGCUUUUCGCAGGUAGCAUGAGGUCAUUGUAUAGUGGGAUGAGUUUGAGGGUCAAUUUGAUUAUACAAAAUCAAGCCAUGGAUAAAACUUACUCAAACUGCAACAUAGACCAAAGGGUUUUAAUGUUAUAGUGUACUGAAAGUUUAUUGUUAUAGUUUCAGAUUCUACCUGCAAUUACGCUCCGAAACUGGCCAUCAUCAUCUGGAAAAGUUGCUGAAAUAUUCCUUCUGUUUUCAGUUCCACAUCUAAAUGAGAUUGGAUUAUCUUCACCUACUUACCAAACAACAGAUCACAACAAAUGGCAUGCAGGACAGGCUGUCUGGUUGUCUUCUGUUAGGCCAGACAUGAAGAAUAUUUGUAAAAAGGCAAAGUGAUGGUUUUGUUUUCCUACUGAACUUUUUCUGUGUUUCAAAAAAUAAAGUUAUUUCCCAUAAGAGGUGUUUUUAUGUUAACAUUUAAUG